GUAGGGAAUAUUGGGCAAUGGAUGCAAGUCUGACCCAGCCAUCCCGCGUGCCGGAAGAAGGCCCUCAGGGUUGUAAACGGCUUUUGACGGUGAAGAAUCGACAGGAUGCGUCCUGUUUUGACGGUAGCCGUUGAAUAAGCACCGGCUAACUCCGUGCCAGCAGCAGCGGUAAUACGGAGGGUGCGAGCGUUGUCCGGAUUUAUUGGGUUUAAAGGGUGCGUAGGCUGGAAGGUCAGUCAGCGGUGAAAAGCUGUCGCUUAACGAUAGUCUUGCCGCAGAUACUUCCUUUCUUGGAUGAGGAGGAGGCCACUGGAACGGAUGGUGUAGCGGUGAAAUGCAUAGAUAUCAUCCAGAACACCGAUUGCGAAGGCAGGUGGCUGUACCUUAAUCGACGCUGAUGCACGAAAGCAUGGGGAGCAAACAGGAUUAGAUACCCGGGUAGUCC
Molecule: ribosomal RNA, 445 nt
Filed under: uncultured bacterium
Lineage: Bacteria
Description: partial 16S ribosomal RNA
Rfam family: Bacterial small subunit ribosomal RNA
Source: RNAcentral